RNAcentral lists this ribosomal RNA (497 nucleotides) under uncultured bacterium. RNAcentral describes it as "partial 16S ribosomal RNA". It matches the Rfam family "Bacterial small subunit ribosomal RNA", at positions 28 to 507 of the family's 1533-position model. The record is from RNAcentral.
GAUGAACGCUGGCGGCGUGCCUAAUACAUGCCAGUCGAGCGAACAGACGAGGAGCUUGCUCCUCUGACGUUAGCGGCGGACGGGUGAGUAACACGUGGAUAACCUACCUAUAAGACUAGGAUAACUUCGGGAAACCGGAGCUAAUACCGGAUAAUAUAUUGAACCGCAUGGUUCAAUAGUGAAAGACGGUUUUGCUGUCACUUAUAGAUGGAUCCGCGCCGCAUUAGCUAGUUGGUAAGGUAACGGCUUACCAAGGCAACGAUGCGUAGCCGACCUGAGAGGGUGAUCGGCCACACUGGAACUGAGACACGGUCCAGACUCCUACGGGAGGCAGCAGUAGGGAAUCUUCCGCAAUGGGCGAAAGCCUGACGGAGCAACGCCGCGUGAGUGAUGAAGGUCUUCGGAUCGUAAAACUCUGUUAUUAGGGAAGAACAAAUGUGUAAGUAACUAUGCACGUCUUGACGGUACCUAAUCAGAAAGCCACGGCUAACUACGUG